UACGUAGGGUGCAAGCGUUGUCCGGAAUUAUUGGGCGUAAAGAGCUCGUAGGCGGUUCGUCGCGUCGGCUGUGAAAUCCCGAGGCUCAACCUCGGGUCUGCAGUCGAUACGGGCGGACUGGAGUUCGGCAGGGGAGACUGGAAUUCCUGGUGUAGCGGUGAAAUGCGCAGAUAUCAGGAGGAACACCGGUGGCGAAGGCGGCAUCCUGGACCAAUAUUGACGCUGAGGAGCGAAAGCCAGGGGAGCAAACGGG
Molecule: ribosomal RNA, 253 nt
Filed under: uncultured bacterium
Lineage: Bacteria
Description: partial 16S ribosomal RNA
Rfam family: Bacterial small subunit ribosomal RNA
Source: RNAcentral